GGUCCCAUGGUCUAGUGGUUAGGACAUUGGACUCUGAAUCCAGUAACCCGAGUUUAAGUCUCGGUGGGACCU
Ipomoea nil (Japanese morning glory) is the source of this 72-nucleotide transfer RNA. It matches the Rfam family "tRNA". From Rfam's summary of the family: Transfer RNA (tRNA) molecules are approximately 80 nucleotides in length. Their secondary structure includes four short double-helical elements and three loops (D, anti-codon, and T loops). The record is from Rfam. NCBI's taxonomy places the organism in Eukaryota, Viridiplantae, Streptophyta, Magnoliopsida, Solanales, Convolvulaceae.